RNAcentral lists this ribosomal RNA (324 nucleotides) under Triticum aestivum (bread wheat). RNAcentral describes it as "partial small subunit ribosomal RNA". The record is from RNAcentral. Lineage: Eukaryota; Viridiplantae; Streptophyta; Magnoliopsida; Poales; Poaceae.
AUGAUUCGGCCUCCCUCCAACCAUUGCCAUCGUAAAAUACAAGAAAGCACCCGCUUCAAUCCAUAUUUCAAGGAUUGUGUUGGAGCAAUAGAUGGGACUCAUGUGCUUGCUAGAGUCCCAAAAAGUAUCUCAGCUGCCUUUAGGGGCAGAAAAGAGGGGACUACCCAAAAUGUGAUGGCCGCGGUAGACUUUGAUCUAAAGUUUACCUAUGUACUUGCGGGUUGGGAGGGGUCAGCUCAUGAUGCCCUUAUACUUGCAAAUGCAUUAGAGAGGGAAGAUGGAUUGAAAGUUCCUACAGGUAAUAAAUUAGAGUCUACUACCUAA